This is a long non-coding RNA of Passer domesticus (house sparrow), 4249 nucleotides long. RefSeq lists it as uncharacterized. The transcript has 2 exons. NCBI's taxonomy places the organism in Eukaryota, Metazoa, Chordata, Aves, Passeriformes, Passeridae. The record is from RefSeq and is a predicted model, not a curated record.
CAGACAUUUGUUUAGAGAGAACAGACUGGACUUCUGGUGAAAGGAAGGACAAAUACAAAACUUCACUUUGUCAAAGAAAGCAUGGAGAAAAUCAAGUACAGAGCACAAGUCCAUCAGGAAAACUUAAAAGAAUUUCCACCAUCAGCCAAUAACAAUGGGGAGAAAGGAGCACCACACACAACAAACAAGUGGUAAGUGGAACCUGCUAAGUCCUUAGGUAACUCUUCCUGCUACAAGUCCCUACAAAGCUUUCCAGUUAUGUACUUGAAAGACCAGGGGAAAGACCUGGGGAUUUACAAGCCUGAGGUUGUCACAGCAGCUGAUUCUCACCAACAUCCCAGUUCCUAGCAGGGUCCUUAAGGAACAGGCAUUUAUAUUAGGCAAUGUCCAUGCAAAUUUUGCUGCUCUGGCUCUGUCCAAGACACAUCCAUAACAGGUAAAAGGUACCACUGAGACAGUUCUGGUGAGAUACAUAGCUUUCUUUCAUUGAUCCCAACUGCUUCCAGGACAGAUGAUGCUGUACACAGAGUAAGGACUAGACUUUAGCCUAGUUCUUAACUAUUCAGAAAAUUACAGGUAAGUUUGCCAACACACAAAAAAACUAAAUUUAAAAAAAAAACCCUAUUCUGAAUGUAUAUACAUGUAUAUAAAAAGAUAUUCCAGUGUCUGUGCAAAACACUGAAGUGACCACUUAUGCCUUUUUUUUCCCCUCCAAUAUUUCCCUGAAAGAAAGGGAUAAUCUUAUUUCACCAAGCCUCUCUUCAGAAUUCAUUGCUUCUGACAUGAAGACUCUUCUCCAACUCUAAGUCAGGAAUUGUAUCUCUAUCUGCAGUGUGAGGCAUCAGGAAUAAGAGAGCAUUUUAUUUUUCCAAAGCUGGCAAGUUGUUUAUUAAAUCUGCAACUUCUCUGAGAUAACAUGCUCCAAAAGAAUUAACAGGAACUCAUUUGUUUAUGGACAAAGAGGUAAGUCUGGGGUUUUUUUUCCUCCUUUGCACAUAUGUACAGGUAUUCUGAGAAAUCCAAUUUGAGUUUCCACUUCCCCAAGCAGCCACCUCACUAUUCUUUCUGAAUGCUUAGGUCACAAGGCUGAACAUGUUUGUUCCAGUGUAUUGGUACAGUCUUCACAACACUGCCUUAGAUAUCACAGAUUAAAUCUAGCCACACCAUACUGCACCUUUGUAGCACUACAGUUCUCCUUCCUGCACUCAGGGUCUGCAUGUUCCCCUCAGUCUGGUCAGAUGGGUCAGCUCUGAUCUCUUGAUUGCCUUCUCAGCCCUAUUUGUUUUCUCCCACAAUGCCUCCACCACUACACUUGCCCAGUACUUACCAGGGUGGAAUAGCUUCCUGCUAUUUAUCAAGUAUUUCCACUUCAUCAUCAUAAGAAGUGCCCCCAAAAUACAGGAGCUAAGGGCCACUCAGAAUUCAAUGAACUAUUAAAAUCACUCUAGGUAACUGGCAGGCAGCUAAGCCAGUGCUCAAAUCUGUUAUCCAGCUUUAUUGCAGAGAACAAGGUUACCAGCUACUCUUCAAGACAGAACUACUUCCACCAUCCCCCAAGUGUCUUAGAAAAUAAUCUGUUAUUAUUCUAGUGCAUUUAUUUUUUCUAGUUUGCUUUGGGGGGUUGGUUUCUUCAUGUUUUUUUCUUCUAUACUGAAAGAAAAGUAGGAACACUUCCAAAAUUUUAUUUUCAUUCACGUAUUUUACAAGCAUCUGACAGAUGUUCGGUGAGUUCGACCACCCUGUAACUUCGCACUCAUCCCAAAAUAAUCUCUUCCCAGGCUGUUUUCCCCACACACACUUGCACAGCACUGGUGCUACCCAGCUGCAGUCCUUUGCUGCUAAGAGCAGUAGCUUUAGACUGGGCAGUGAGGAGGGACUUACACUGGUCACUCGGCGGUAGAUCUGCGCAGCAUUUUGGCACUCGGAAUAAGGAUAUUCAGACGUGGCCAUCUCUAGCAUACACAUCCCAAAAGCAUACACAUCAACGGACUCAUCAUAUUUCUCCUCAUACAUCUCGGGGGCCAUGAACUCUGGGGUACCUUAAAUUAAAAGAACGAUUCAGACUCUAAAUGUCUCAAAGCGAGCAGAGGCUGCUGGCGUUACUCACCGCAGGGGCAAGCGGCUGGGCAAACCUGUGAGACAAGAGAAAGUGGAGGCAAAAAGAAGAGGGAGGAAACCCUUAGUGACUCUGUUGCACCAAUGUACUUUGUGAGUCUUCCAUUGCAAGGCCUUUAUGGAAUAACAAUGGCAUGUGAGAACUGAUGCAAUUCCCUGUUUAGGUAUGUUAGUUGAUACAAAUGGCAGAACAGACUGGAUUAGCCUGAAAUCAAACACGAGGGGAGGGGAUAAGAAGAGGGGAAAAACUGUAGACUAGCCAUAGGCUGCAAACCAAAUACUAAGGAGAGUUAAGGCACUUACCUUUUCUCCCUGUAAGAAAAGAGGCACAUUAAACCUUGUUUCAUAAAUUACCUGACUGCCCUCUGCUGCAAAAGAAGUAGUACUGGUAAGAGCCCAUAGCUAGUCUCCGACCUGGUGCUCUCCAUCUACUUGCUGAAGUAGAAUGGGUCAGAUAAGGCCUUGCAAUGAAAAGCUCUGUUGUUACAAAUAAAAAUCUCCGUGAAAAGAGGAUAUAAAAGGUAAUUUUCUGCAAAGGCCACUCACCAGAGCCCUUUUCUUCAUAUACUUACCUUCCCACCUGCAGUAUAUUUAUAGGCCUACUGCAGAUACAGGCAUUAGUGAGGGACACCCUACAGUCAAAAAUACUCAGAAAUACAGAGAGAUUGAGUUACAGGCAUAGAGCGUGAGAUUCAACAAGUCCCAUUUAAAUAGUGUCCAGAAAAUGAUUGCCCAGUGAAGCAUCACAGAUCCCCUCUGCAAACAAAGGGACUGCAUUGUAUGAUCAGAUUUUCUUUAAGCCACAGAUGCAAGUUUGCUUUUUGUAAAUUUAAACACAGAAUUAUUUCCUGCAGACACCAGAUUCCAGGCAAUUUACAGAUCAUUCUACAGCCCAUUGCUUGUUUUCACCAGACUAAACCAAAGAGAAUGUAAAUUGCAGUCAUUUAUCCAAGGCUAAUCAUUAACAGAUAACUAUGUAACAGAUGGUAAUUUUCCAGUGAUAAAUUUGAAGAUAUAACAAAUAUGCUUUAGAAAUUAUGGUUUUUAACACCAUUCUUUUAUUCCCUAUUAAUACUUUGACCUGGUUAAGAAGCAGGAAAUAUUUCAGUGACAGCUUGCAAGAAAAUUUACAGGUAUACGCCAUUGAUCCCAGCUAGGAAUCUGGCACAGGACUGUUGAGCAAUGCUGAAUUUUAGCAAGCUCUAAAUACUGGGAGUGAAAGAAACUUCAUUCCCUGCAGUCUAUUGACCCAACUGUAAAAACAAAGCUGAUAAAACCAAUUCUUUCAAGAAUUCUCAAGAAAGAUCACACUAGUUCCACCAGAUCAAUUUCUGAAAAAGGUUAUGAAUGGAUACACAGGGACAGAGCCAGAAUAAAGCACUAUUUCCCAAUGCACCCUCUUAACUCACACAAAUCCACAUUCUACAGACUCCCUGAGUAAGGUGUUAUACCCACAGUCUGUGUUAUUAUUUAAAUACAUAUUAUAUGGUCUUUCUUUGGUACACCUCAGUUUCAGAUUACUCACAAGCUGCAAGACAUUCAACAUUAACCCCUGGUCACAAUGAAAAAAAAUUUGGCUGUAUGAACUAAUGCUACACUAAAUGUCAAAAUGUUGUUUGGUCUUCAAAAUGCAUUUGUACAUUUCUUGAAGCAGCACCACAAAGGUAAGAUUUUUAUGCAGUGAAGAGUGGUUUUAUCAACAAUGUUGCACAAGAUUGUUGGGCAGGACAAGAACUCUAUAUUCUCAAAUAGCUAAUGUUAAUACAUAAAUAACCAAAGCACAACCAAAAUUUCAACAUGUCUUUGCAUUAGGAACACAGAAUGCCCUCAGCAACCAAGAGACAAAGCCUACAUAUUUUCAGGCUUUGACCAUGUACCUUUAUAAGCAUGUUUUUUUAGGAAAGUUCCUAAAACACUGAAGUCUCCAAAGAGGUAGACUGGCUUAGCAGCCUCCAAAACAGGAGAGGCUUACCUAUCACACUUUUGGCAAAAGAAGCUCGUUUCAGGGUUGCCAGACCAAGGUCUCCAAUCUUGACUGAUCCAGUGGGGCCAGUAAUGAAGAUGUUGUCACAUUUUAAGUCUCUAUGAAUGAUGGGAGGAGUACGAGUGUGUAGAAAUUGUAAGCCUUUCAGUA